AGCAGCCGCGGUAAUUCCAGCUCCAAUAGCGUAUAUUAAAGUUGUUGCAGUUAAAAAGCUCGUAGUUGAAUUUCGGGGUUCUACCGUUGGUCGGGCAAUAGUCUGUACUGGCGUGUAGAAUUUCUACCUUCUGGGGAACUAUUAUGUUAUUUAUUUAGCGUGGUAGGAAACCAGGACCUUUACCUUGAAAAAUUAGAGUGUUCAAAGCAGGCUUACGUCUGAAUACAUUAGCAUGGAAUAAUAAAAUAGGACGGUGGUCCUGUUUUGUUGGUUUCUGAAUCACCGUAAUGAUUAAUAGGGAUAGUUGGGGGCAUUAGUAUUCAAUUGUCAGAGGUGAAAUUCUUGGAUUUAUUGAAGACUAACUUCUGCGAAAGCAUUUGCCAAGGAUGUUUUCAUUAAUCAAGAACGAAAGUUAGGGAUCGAAGACGAUCAGAUACCGUCGUAGUCUUAACCAUAAACUAUGCCGACUAGGGAUCGGACGAUGUUAAAUUUU
Molecule: ribosomal RNA, 493 nt
Filed under: uncultured Gigaspora
Lineage: Eukaryota; Fungi; Glomeromycota; Glomeromycetes; Diversisporales; Gigasporaceae
Description: SSU rRNA
Rfam family: Eukaryotic small subunit ribosomal RNA
Source: RNAcentral